CUCGGCAGCCCAUCCUGCAUCACUUCAGUGGACUUCUCUGACAUCUACUAGACCACAUUAAAUGAAUCACAGCCUUGAAACUGAACUGGAAGGACUUCCUUCAAGGAGCCAGCAUAUGAACUUGCUGCCUAUCUUUAGCAAGGAGAUGCAAAUGACAUCCACAAACCUCUUCUGCUGUAUACCUGGAUGAAAGCAAGGCUAGCUGUGUGUCCUAUGGCACCAAGGACUGAAAGAUUGUAAGAAGUAAGAGUAAGUAAAUUUUUAGCUGCUAUAUUCCCUAAUAGCUAGACUUUAAAAGUAUUUUUAACUCUUUUCCUCUAUUCUUGCUAGGUGAACAAGGCUAAAACCUGGGUUUAGUUUUCAUUUUAUAAAUUAUUCUUUAAAAAUAAAUUAUUUCAACUGUCUUGAAGAGUCUGUAAAACAAGGUCUGUGAAGUCACAGAGGGAAAAAGAAUCAGAAAUCAGUAGACAGCAGUUAGACCACGGGUGUUUGUUAUACAUUCGUUCUAGACAUUCAUCAAAAGCUCAGAAAGGGAAAGUCAAGCGUGCCAAAUCAAUAAAGUUUCUAUCGUAUUUCA
This is a long non-coding RNA of Homo sapiens (human), 577 nucleotides long. Ensembl annotates it as long intergenic non-protein coding RNA 1065. The record is from Ensembl. Lineage: Eukaryota; Metazoa; Chordata; Mammalia; Primates; Hominidae.